This 514-nucleotide ribosomal RNA is filed under the name Escherichia coli. RNAcentral describes it as "bacterial SSU rRNA". It matches the Rfam family "Bacterial small subunit ribosomal RNA", at positions 77 to 582 of the family's 1533-position model. The record is from RNAcentral. Lineage: Bacteria; Pseudomonadati; Pseudomonadota; Gammaproteobacteria; Enterobacterales; Enterobacteriaceae.
AGCUUGCUGCUUUGCUGACGAGUGGCGGACGGGUGAGUAAUGUCUGGGAAACUGCCUGAUGGAGGGGGAUAACUACUGGAAACGGUAGCUAAUACCGCAUAACGUCGCAAGACCAAAGAGGGGGACCUUCGGGCCUCUUGCCAUCGGAUGUGCCCAGAUGGGAUUAGCUAGUAGGUGGGGUAACGGCUCACCUAGGCGACGAUCCCUAGCUGGUCUGAGAGGAUGACCAGCCACACUGGAACUGAGACACGGUCCAGACUCCUACGGGAGGCAGCAGUGGGGAAUAUUGCACAAUGGGCGCAAGCCUGAUGCAGCCAUGCCGCGUGUAUGAAGAAGGCCUUCGGGUUGUAAAGUACUUUCAGCGGGGAGGAAGGGAGUAAAGUUAAUACCUUUGCUCAUUGACGUUACCCGCAGAAGAAGCACCGGCUAACUCCGUGCCAGCAGCCGCGGUAAUACGGAGGGUGCAAGCGUUAAAUCGGGAAUUACUGGGCGUAAAGCGCACGCAGGCGGUUUG